RNAcentral lists this unclassified non-coding RNA (1252 nucleotides) under Hevea brasiliensis (rubber tree). The record is from RNAcentral. Lineage: Eukaryota; Viridiplantae; Streptophyta; Magnoliopsida; Malpighiales; Euphorbiaceae.
GGGGGUUGUUGGUGGGAGGAUAGGCCCAUUGCCUAUCUACAGUUCUCUACCUUUGUAUCUAAUCAACUAGAACUUCAAAAUUCUCUUUACCCAUAAGAUAAUUGCUGACACUUUGACACGGAGUGGAUUUCAUAACUUCAAUGCUAGGCUUUGGGGCCGUAAACUGCCAGGCCUGUGGCCAAGUUCAGGGAAGAAAAGGUUAUUAGCUGCUAGUCAAUUGCUAUAAAUUGGUCAUGGAAAAAAGUUGAUGAACAAAGCUAAAAUAUUAUUGGACUUUUUUCCCUGACCAUUUCAUAAAAUUCUGAAAUUUGUUUGUUUACUUGGAAUUUUAGCAUUUUGCUUAUGCAAUGUAGAUACAACUGAUUGAUAAUCUCUCUUUCCCUCUCAGUCAAUUAGUUUUGUUUCUUCCUUUCUUUCUGAAAGGUUAGAGGCCUAUAUAAUAUGAAAGAGUCCAAAUGUCCAAUUUCCAGUGUAACAAAUACCUCAAACAUAAGCUGCUAACCAAAAAUUACUUCCAUGAGAAAUUACUUCAAACCCCUCACAACUUCUCCAUCUGCCCCCAAAUGUGCUAUCUUCAAACAAAUGAACACGUUAAUUACUAUUCUGACAUGAGUUUGAAGAGUGGAAUGCUCCACUUGUUAGUGCCUUGUAGCCACCUAUUAGCUUUGUCAAAAUUUUGUUAAGCAGAUGCAUUUAGGGCUCGUGCAUAGUUAUCUUGUUAAAACCUAGCCUUACUCUGAAUGGAUGAUUUGUUUUGUUAGGUUCUCAGGUUAAAAUACUAAAAAUUAUCUUUACUGAGUGUACAGUUUGGUGGACUUGUAUUAUUUGUUUGCAUGAACAUUCAGAAUGAUUAUAGUUGCAAGAAUAUGUUCUCAGCAAUGUGCAUAUUCUUCCUUUGAUGCCAGUUAGAAGAGAAAAAAAAAUGAAAUCCCUAAUGUUUUCGAUGUUUCCUCUUUGGUAGGUAAAAAUAUAUUAGCAGUUGGUUUUUCUCCUGUAUUUAUGCUCUUUCCUUUUUUCAUUCUAGUUAGUAAUGAUAGCCUGUUCCCAUACUUUUCAUCUUUGGACCUUUUAGACCCUGUGAAUUGUAGAGGAGACAGCAGGGGGGAAGUAUACCCAUAUAAUGUUCAUCUGUUUAAAGGAUUUGGAUUCGAUAUACUGGAGCCAAAAUAAUAUAUUGUUCAAAGUAUUAUUUACUAUUGCAUGCAUCUCCUAAUAUAAGCAAGAAGUUUGUCACAUACUCCUCUUUUUUUUU